CAUCACCAAACCACUACCAUAAUCGUCUUGCACGCACGAAAUCAUUGUCUUCCCUCUUCCUCUAUUCGCUCUUUUCUCUAAUGAACUAAUUAUUGUUGUCGAACCACCACCAUCUCCAUUAACAGAAAAGAUCCUUCCUCUCCCUUGCAUGGCUUCUUCUCACUCUAUAGCUUCCUUCUCCUCCUCUGGUUUAGAUGCUUCUAUCUCCCUAGUUGUCACCUUGCUUUCUUUCUUCCAUUUCCACCCUGUGUUUGCCUUUUAUGCAUGAUGUUGCCCGUGGAGCAAAAGGUUUUA
Molecule: long non-coding RNA, 294 nt
Filed under: Glycine max (soybean)
Lineage: Eukaryota; Viridiplantae; Streptophyta; Magnoliopsida; Fabales; Fabaceae
Description: long non-coding RNA (GMAX_LNC001496)
Source: RNAcentral